Mustela erminea (ermine) is the source of this 256-nucleotide long non-coding RNA. RefSeq lists it as uncharacterized. The record is from RefSeq and is a predicted model, not a curated record. Lineage: Eukaryota; Metazoa; Chordata; Mammalia; Carnivora; Mustelidae. The transcript is spliced from 3 exons.
GGACCCGCCUUUGUUCUUGGCUCCAGCUACUCAGCAGUCGGCGCCUACCCCUCAGCCAGGAGGUCAGACAAGAUACCAGAGGUGCAGUACUGAUGAGUCACCAUGACCAUGAGAGCCAUCCACAGAGGCAGAGCAUGAAGAUAGCAAGAGCCCAAAUCCUUGUAGAUAUCCUCCUGUGUCUGGACCUGCUCCCUACCUCCAGAUAGGUCUCCUAAACCACAUCACCUCUACUUUCAAUAUUGUAGGAGGCUACAGG